This 460-nucleotide ribosomal RNA is filed under the name uncultured bacterium. RNAcentral's name for it is "partial 16S ribosomal RNA". It matches the Rfam family "Bacterial small subunit ribosomal RNA", at positions 338 to 795 of the family's 1533-position model. The record is from RNAcentral.
CCUACGGGUGGCAGCAGUGAGGAAUAUUGGUCAAUGCGCGCGAGCCUGAACCAGCCAAGUAGCGUGAAGGAUGACUGCCCUACGGGUUGUAAACUUCUAUUAUAAAGGAAUAAAGUGAGACACGUAUGCCUUUUUGUAUGUACUUUAUGAAUAAGGAUCGGCUAACUCCGUGCCAUCAGCCGCGGUAAUACGGAGGAUCCGAGCGUUAUCCGGAUUUAUUGGGUUUAAAGGGAGCGUAGAUGGGUUGUUAAGUCAGUUGUGAAAGUUUGCGGCUCAACCGUAAAAUUGCAAUUGAUACUGGCAGUCUUGAGUACAGUUGAGGUAGGCGGAAUUCGUGGUGUAGCGGUGAAAUGCUUAGAUAUCACGAAGAACUCCGAUUGCGAAGGCAGCUUACUAAACUGCCACUGACAUUGAUGCUCGAAAGUGUGGGUAUCAAACAGGAUUAGAUACCCGGGUAGUC